AAGAUUUGCACCUAUGAAAAUCAAGAGCAAAAAUGACCAAACAUUCACAGAGCUGGAUUAUUAUUUUUAAGUGUUCAAUUACAAUAAUGAAUCAUCUAAUACAGGAAACCAGCUUGAAUGACUUUUUCCUUGUUUUUGUUUUGGGAGCCUAUUAUUUCAGUUGUCAAGAGAUAUUUGCCAAGAAGCAAGCUGGUGUUCUGCUGAAAGCAGUAUUUAUAAGAGCCCUGUGAUUUCUGUCUCAACAAGACAAUUUGCAAACAUGCUAAGGCUAUAAAAUGUCCAACUGGACCAAAGGA
This is a long non-coding RNA of Lacerta agilis (Sand lizard), 296 nucleotides long. RefSeq lists it as uncharacterized. NCBI's taxonomy places the organism in Eukaryota, Metazoa, Chordata, Lepidosauria, Squamata, Lacertidae. The transcript is spliced from 2 exons. The record is from RefSeq and is a predicted model, not a curated record.